CACGCCGUAAACGAUGUCAACUAGCCGUUGGAAGCCUUGAGCUUUUAGUGGCGCAGCUAACGCAUUAAGUUGACCGCCUGGGGAGUACGGCCGCAAGGUUAAAACUCAAAUGAAUUGACGGGGGCCCGCACAAGCGGUGGAGCAUGUGGUUUAAUUCGAAGCAACGCGAAGAACCUUACCAGGCCUUGACAUCCAAUGAACUUUCCAGAGAUGGAUUGGUGCCUUCGGGAACAUUGAGACAGGUGC
RNAcentral lists this ribosomal RNA (246 nucleotides) under uncultured Pseudomonas sp. Its description in RNAcentral is "partial 16S ribosomal RNA". It matches the Rfam family "Bacterial small subunit ribosomal RNA", at positions 796 to 1041 of the family's 1533-position model. Lineage: Bacteria; Pseudomonadati; Pseudomonadota; Gammaproteobacteria; Pseudomonadales; Pseudomonadaceae. The record is from RNAcentral.